Acanthopagrus latus (yellowfin seabream) is the source of this 681-nucleotide long non-coding RNA. RefSeq lists it as uncharacterized. The record is from RefSeq and is a predicted model, not a curated record. NCBI's taxonomy places the organism in Eukaryota, Metazoa, Chordata, Actinopteri, Spariformes, Sparidae. The transcript has 2 exons.
GGUUCCUGCAGCGAGACGGAGAGAAGAGUUUACAUUCAGCUGUGAUCCCCGAUAGUCUGCAGCAUUUUACCAUCAGACAUCCUCCUGACAGUGUGGCCCAACAUGAAGACACAUUUAUACAAAAUACAACAGAAGCAGAAGAUCUUCUUCAACCUGCGUAACCAGAACCUGAAGAUGAUCAUUUCACUUUGAUUCAAAACAGAACAAUCAGCAAAUCUUCACACUGAGACUGAAAUCAGCAAACACGGUAGAUUUAUUAAUUAUUCAUUACGAGAUUUUCAUAAUAUCUGCUGAUCAUUUUCUCAUUAUCAAAUAGACUUUAGACUUUUAUUCAUCCUGCAUCUGGGAAAGUCACUUGUCACAAUAGCAGGUAGACAGACAUACAAACAUACAAUAAGUACAGGACUUUAGAAUACUAAAAAAGAUUUGAAUAAGAGAGAAAUGAUAAAACACAGAUCAACGUAUUUAGCAGCAGUAUAUUCUCGCUGUUUUAGAGAUCGAGUCGAAUCAUUUAUAGUUUCUCCUCAUGGACAAAAUAUCAGAUUGAUUACUUCAUGUACUUUCCAAUAUGAAUAUUGAUAUAAUGUUGGAACCGAGAUUGUCAUCUGUAGUCUUAUUGUUACUGAUGAGUUUGUGUAGAUUGAUUUGCUCUUGGAACUUGAAUAAUUUAUUUUAUCUUCA